GGGUGAGUAAUGCCUAGGAAUCUGCCUGGUAGUGGGGGAUAACGCUCGGAAACGGACGCUAAUACCGCAUACGUCCUACGGGAGAAAGCAGGGGACCUUCGGGCCUUGCGCUAUCAGAUGAGCCUAGGUCGGAUUAGCUAGUUGGUGAGGUAAUGGCUCACCAAGGCGACGAUCCGUAACUGGUCUGAGAGGAUGAUCAGUCACACUGGAACUGAGACACGGUCCAGACUCCUACGGGAGGCAGCAGUGGGGAAUAUUGGACAAUGGGCGAAAGCCUGAUCCAGCCAUGCCGCGUGUGUGAAGAAGGUCUUCGGAUUGUAAAGCACUUUAAGUUGGGAGGAAGGGCAUUAACCUAAUACGUUGGUGUCUUGACGUUACCGACAGAAUAAGCACCGGCUAACUCUGUGCCAGCAGCCGCGGUAAUACAGAGGGUGCAAGCGUUAAUCGGAAUUACUGGGCGUAAAGCGCGCGUAGGUGGUUUGUUAAGUUGGAUGUGAAAUCCCCGGGCUCAACCUGGGAACUGCAUUCAAAACUGACAAGCUAGAGUAUGGUAGAGGG
RNAcentral lists this ribosomal RNA (558 nucleotides) under Pseudomonas sp. RNAcentral's name for it is "bacterial SSU rRNA". It matches the Rfam family "Bacterial small subunit ribosomal RNA", at positions 104 to 658 of the family's 1533-position model. The record is from RNAcentral. Lineage: Bacteria; Pseudomonadati; Pseudomonadota; Gammaproteobacteria; Pseudomonadales; Pseudomonadaceae.